CCUAACACAUGCAAGUCGAACGGACAAUUAUUUAUAGCCUCUGGCUAUAGGAAAUUGUUAGUGGCAGACGGGUGAGUAAUGCGUAGGAAUCUACCUAGUAGUACGGAAUAGCCAUUAGAAAUGGUGGGUAAUACUGUAUAAUCCCCGAGGGGGAAAGAUUUAUCGCUAUUAGAUGAGCCUACGUUAGAUUAGCUAGUUGGUGAGGUAAUGGCUUACCAAGGCUAUGAUCUAUAGCUGGUCUGAGAGGACGAUCAGCCACACUGGAACUGAGAUACGGUCCAGACUCCUACGGGAGGCAGCAGUGGGGAAUAUUGGACAAUGGGCGAAAGCCUGAUCCAGCUAUGCCGCGUGAGUGAAGAAGGCCUUCGGGUUGUAAAACUCUUUCAAUAGGGAAGAUAAUGACGGUACCUAUAGAAGAAGUCCCGGCAAACUCUGUG
RNAcentral lists this ribosomal RNA (437 nucleotides) under Ehrlichia canis. Its description in RNAcentral is "bacterial SSU rRNA". It matches the Rfam family "Bacterial small subunit ribosomal RNA", at positions 47 to 507 of the family's 1533-position model. Lineage: Bacteria; Pseudomonadati; Pseudomonadota; Alphaproteobacteria; Rickettsiales; Anaplasmataceae. The record is from RNAcentral.